GCCCGCCUAGCUCAAUCGGAUAGAGCGUCAGACUCUUAAUGGCUAGAAGGCGGAUCUGAAGGCUGCGAGUUCGACUCUCGCGGUGGGCU
Molecule: non-coding RNA, 89 nt
Organism: Armillaria mellea
Lineage: Eukaryota; Fungi; Basidiomycota; Agaricomycetes; Agaricales; Physalacriaceae
Source: the annotation of a GenBank genome assembly